This 119-nucleotide small RNA is filed under the name Chrysemys picta bellii (western painted turtle). Its description in RNAcentral is "SMAD5 antisense RNA 1 conserved region 3 (ENSCPBG00000007827.1)". The record is from RNAcentral. Lineage: Eukaryota; Metazoa; Chordata; Testudines; Emydidae.
CCUCAGACACAGAGAGAGGGAGCUGCAAUAGUCGAGUCUGAAGGUGAGAAAUGCUUGGAUUGCUGGAGCCAGAACCUCCGUCAAGAGGAAGAAUCAAUGUUUCCUGCCUAGCUGGAGGU